GUGUAGGUGUGUGUGUGUGUGUAGGUGUGUGUCUGUGUGUGUGUGUGUGUGUAAGUGUAGGUGUGUGUGUGUGUGUGUGUGUGUGUGUGUGUGUGUGUGUGUGUGUGUGUGUGUGUGUGUGUGUGUGUAUCACUGCAGCAGAGAUAAAAAGAAAGGCAGGGGAGGGGCCAGGAGGUGUGUGUGUGUGUGUGUGUGUGUGUGUGUGUGUGUAUUACUGCAGAGAUAAACAGAAAGGCAGGGGAGGGGCCAGGAGGUGUGUGUGUGUGUGUGUGUGUGUGUGUGUGUGUGUGUGUGUGUGUGUGUGUGUGUGUGUAUUACUGCAGAGAUAAACAGAAAGGCAGGGG
Long non-coding RNA from Clupea harengus (Atlantic herring), 344 nucleotides. NCBI's taxonomy places the organism in Eukaryota, Metazoa, Chordata, Actinopteri, Clupeiformes, Clupeidae. The record is from Ensembl.